This 301-nucleotide ribosomal RNA is filed under the name uncultured bacterium. RNAcentral describes it as "partial 16S ribosomal RNA". It matches the Rfam family "Bacterial small subunit ribosomal RNA", at positions 509 to 807 of the family's 1533-position model. The record is from RNAcentral.
CAGUCGCCGCGGGAAUACGGAGGGUGCAAGCGUUAAUCUGAAUUACUGGGCGUAAAGCGCACGCAGGCGGUCUGACAAGUCAGAUGUGAAAUCCCCGGGCUUAACCUGGGAACUGCAUUUGAAACUGUCAGGCUGGAGUCUUGUAGAGGGGGGUGGAAUUCCAGGUGUAGCGGUGAAAUGCGUAGAGAUCUGGAGGAAUACCGGUGGCGAAGGCGGCCCCCUGGACAAAGACUGACGCUCAGGUGCGAAAGCGUGGGGAGCAAACAGGAUUAGAUACCCCUGUAGUCCCUGUCUCUUAUAC